AUCGCUUCUCGGCCUUUUGGCUAAGAUCAAGUGUAGUAUCUGUUCUUAUCAGUUUAAAAAUCAAUAAAAACAUUUUUUUAAAAAGAAGCAAGUACAGAGAAUAAUUGAUCAGACCAUCAAACCUCAGAGGGAAGGCAGGGGAAGGGGGAGAGAUCAACCAAAGGACUUAUAUGCAUGCAUAUAAGCCUAACCAAU
Molecule: small nuclear RNA, 195 nt
Filed under: Myotis lucifugus (little brown bat)
Lineage: Eukaryota; Metazoa; Chordata; Mammalia; Chiroptera; Vespertilionidae
Description: U2 spliceosomal RNA (ENSMLUG00000020640.1)
Rfam family: U2 spliceosomal RNA (bases 1-119)
About the family: U2 is a small nuclear RNA (snRNA) component of the spliceosome (involved in pre-mRNA splicing). Complementary binding between U2 snRNA (in an area lying towards the 5' end but 3' to hairpin I) and the branchpoint sequence (BPS) of the intron results the bulging out of an unpaired adenosine, on the BPS, which initiates a nucleophilic attack at the intronic 5' splice site, thus starting the first of two transesterification reactions that mediate splicing.
Source: RNAcentral